Molecule: ribosomal RNA, 497 nt
Filed under: uncultured bacterium
Lineage: Bacteria
Description: partial 16S ribosomal RNA
Rfam family: Bacterial small subunit ribosomal RNA
Source: RNAcentral
GAUGAACGCUGGCGGCGUGCCUAAUACAUGCAAGUCGAGCGAACAGACGAGGAGCUUGCUCCUCUGACGUUAGCGGCGGACGGGUGAGUAACACGUGGAUAACCUACCUAUAAGACUGGGAUAACUUCGGGAAACCGGAGCUAAUACCGGAUAAUAUAUUGAACCGCAUGGUUCAAUAUUGAAAGACGGUUUUGCUGUCACUUAUAGAUGGAUCCGCGCCGCAUUAGCUAGUUGUUAAGGUAACGGCUUACCAAGGCAACGAUGCGUAGCCGACCUGAGAGGGUGAUCGGCCAAACGGGGACUGAGAAACGGUGAAGAAAAAUAAGGGAGGCAGCAGUAGGGAAGCUACCGCAAGGGACGAAAGCCUGAAGGAGCAACGCGGCGUGAGUGAUGAAGGUCUUCGGAUAGUAAAACACUGUUAUUAGGGAAGAACAAAUGUGUAAGUAACUAUGCACGUCUUGAAGGUACAGAAUCAGAAAGCCACGGCUAACUAAGUG